Molecule: transfer RNA, 86 nt
Filed under: Levilactobacillus namurensis
Lineage: Bacteria; Bacillati; Bacillota; Bacilli; Lactobacillales; Lactobacillaceae
Description: tRNA-Arg
Rfam family: tRNA
About the family: Transfer RNA (tRNA) molecules are approximately 80 nucleotides in length.
Source: RNAcentral
GGACCCUUAGCUCAACAGGAUAGAGCAACAGUUUCCUAAACCGUAGGAUUCAUUGGGUUCAGUUGGUUCGCGUCCAACAAGGUCCA